GUCCUACUGAAUAGUCCUAUCCUAGGACUAAACGGCCGUCCAGUAC
Schistosoma margrebowiei is the source of this 46-nucleotide non-coding RNA. The record is from Rfam. NCBI's taxonomy places the organism in Eukaryota, Metazoa, Platyhelminthes, Trematoda, Strigeidida, Schistosomatidae.